RNAcentral lists this microRNA precursor (187 nucleotides) under Oryza nivara. Its description in RNAcentral is "MIR812 microRNA precursor family". It matches the Rfam family "MIR812 microRNA precursor family". Lineage: Eukaryota; Viridiplantae; Streptophyta; Magnoliopsida; Poales; Poaceae. The record is from Rfam by way of RNAcentral.
AAUAAAUAUAGUUUUGCACUAUUCAUCUCCAACGUUUAACCGUUCGUUUUAUUUGAAAAAAAAUAUGAUUACUAUUUUUAUUGCUAUUAGAUGAUAAAAUAUGAAUAGUACUUUAUGUGUGACUAAUUUUUUUAAAAUAAGACGGAUAGUCAAACGUUGAACACGAAUUUUCACAACUGCAUUUAUU